AGAUUGAACGCUGGCGGCAUGCUUUACACAUGCAAGUCGAACGGUAACGCGGGGGCAACCCUGGCGACGAGUGGCGAACGGGUGAGUAAUACAUCGGAACAUGUCCUGGAGUGGGGGAUAGCUCGGCGAAAGCCGGAUUAAUACCGCAUACGCUCUGAGGAGGAAAGCGGGGGACUCGUAAGGGCCUCGCGCUGCGGGAGUGGCCGAUGUCGGAUUAGCUAGUUGGUGAGGUAAAGGCUCACCAAGGCGACGAUCCGUAGCUGGUCUGAGAGGAUGAUCAGCCACACUGGGACUGAGACACGGCCCAGACUCCUACGGGAGCAGCAGGUGGGUAAUUUGGACAAGUGGGGGC
Molecule: ribosomal RNA, 352 nt
Filed under: uncultured soil bacterium
Lineage: Bacteria
Description: bacterial SSU rRNA
Rfam family: Bacterial small subunit ribosomal RNA
Source: RNAcentral